CCGUGCCUCAAAAGAGGAAGUCGAUGGGGAAAAUUGGGGAAUUGGUGAAGAUAUUUUCUCUCUUGUGUUUUUAAAAGGACAGCGAUUGCUUUGCGUAAGGCUGUUGUUGUCGAGAGUAUUCUAUAAAGGUCAGGAUUUAUUGAAAAUGAGUUGGGUAGAUUAAAGCUGCUUACAAUUUGGAAGAUCUUGCCGGGAAGGGAUUAUCAAAAAACUGAAAAACAGAUCUUGCUACAGAACAACUGAAAUACAAAGGAUUUCAUCAAGUAACGAAAUCAGUAACUUACUGCAUGUAGAUAGGAAUUAAAUUAGCCACGUUAGACUUACACCAAUCUACCUCAUAGUACCUUCAAGACUAACCAACAUUAAUGCGUGAGCAUUCGCAAGCAGGAGCUCACUCUCUCAGAUGUUUAGAAUGGGCAUGAUUUUAAUUGUAGAGACUGAGAGGAAGAGGUUGAGUACCUUAUCAAUUAGCAAAUGGAAAAGGAUAAGAACAUUUGUUAUUUGCUAAAAACACUCACUGUAUUUAAAGUCCUAUAAGAACAAACUAUUCUAUGCAUCCAAUGAACUAUUGCUCACAAAGGUUUAAGCCCUAAUGAAAUUAGCUAGCUUUAAAAACACUUCCAAAUUCACCUAACACAAUCUUCCCCUUCCAUUAUAAAACCUGUGAAGGAGCUUAAGUUAUUUACUAUUUCUGAUUUAAUUUAUUUCUGCCGAUGAAAGACUAAGUUUUUAUGUUCAAUUGAGAUGAACAGGAUACAAGUGCAUAUUCUUUUAAUUGUCAGGUGACUAUCUACACAGGACAGCAGUAUCCUAUCUAACACUAUACUUUUUAGCUUCUAACACUUGAUACUUUUUAGCUUCACUUAUAACUGAAGAUGGUAAUAAAGGAGUAAUAACCUCA
Molecule: long non-coding RNA, 901 nt
Organism: Pantherophis guttatus
Lineage: Eukaryota; Metazoa; Chordata; Lepidosauria; Squamata; Colubridae
Source: RefSeq, a predicted model, not a curated record